CCUACGGGUGGCUGCAGUGAGGAAUAUUGGUCAAUGGGCGGGAGCCUGAACCAGCCAAGUCGCGUGAAGGAAGAAGGAUCUAUGGUUCGUAAACUUCUUUUGCAGGGGAAUAAAGUGCGGGACGUGUCCUGUUUUGUAUGUACCCUGAGAAUAAGGAUCGGCUAACUCCGUGCCAGCAGCCGCGGUAAUACGGAGGAUCCGGGCGUUAUCCGGAUUUAAUGGGUUGAAGGUGUGUGGAUAUGGUUGCGGUGAAAGUUUGCAGCUUAACUGUAAAAAUGCCGUUGAAACUGUCGGACUUGAGUGUAAAUGAGGUAGGCGGAAUGCGUGGUGUAGCGGUGAAAUGCUUAGAUAUCACGCAGAACUCCGAUUGCGAAGGCAGCUUACUAAGCUACAACUGACACUGAAGCACGAAAGCGUGGGGAUCAAACAGGAUUAGAUACCCUGGUAGUC
This 450-nucleotide ribosomal RNA is filed under the name uncultured bacterium. RNAcentral's name for it is "partial 16S ribosomal RNA". It matches the Rfam family "Bacterial small subunit ribosomal RNA", at positions 338 to 795 of the family's 1533-position model. The record is from RNAcentral.